Felis catus (domestic cat) is the source of this 73-nucleotide transfer RNA. It matches the Rfam family "tRNA". Rfam says of the family: Transfer RNA (tRNA) molecules are approximately 80 nucleotides in length. Their secondary structure includes four short double-helical elements and three loops (D, anti-codon, and T loops). NCBI's taxonomy places the organism in Eukaryota, Metazoa, Chordata, Mammalia, Carnivora, Felidae. The record is from Rfam.
ACCUGACUGGCUCAGCUGAUAGAGCAUGUGAUUCUUGAUCCUGGGGUCAUGAGUUCAAGCCCCAUGUUGGGCA